Molecule: long non-coding RNA, 650 nt
Filed under: Oryctolagus cuniculus (rabbit)
Lineage: Eukaryota; Metazoa; Chordata; Mammalia; Lagomorpha; Leporidae
Description: lncRNA (ENSOCUG00000033725.1)
Source: RNAcentral
GUGGGGGCCGCGCUGGGGAUGGGGGCUCGUCAGCGGGGACCCUCAUCCCCAGUAGCCUGCAAGUCACCCCAAACUUUUCGCUGCCUCCUGCUCACCCCAGCCCAGCGAGGCAGCGCCGGACUACGUCUACUUCGAGAACUCGUCCAGCAACCCGUACCUGAUCCGGAGGAUCGAGGAGCUCAACAAGACGGCCAGCGGGAACGUGGAGGCCAAGGUGGUGUGCUUCUACCGCAGGCGGGACAUCUCCAGCACGCUCAUCGCCCUGGCCGACAAGCAUGCCACCUUGUCAGUCUGCCAUAAAGCCGGACCGGGCGCCGACAGCGGCGAGGAAGGUAAGAGCUGCCCUCUGUGAGGACGCAUCCUCGCGCCUGCCCCGGGCGGAACCUGCGCAGGCCGCCUGCAUGCAGCCCGGCCCCGAGGGUGUCCUGCAGCUGCAGCGGGCCCUGCUGCGGCCAUGCGGGGCCGCCUGGCCACGGGGCUGGGACACGUGGCACCUGCUGCUCACCGCGGUGCCAGCCGCCUGGCAGCUGCUCCUCUUUCCUCCUUUCCUGCUGCUUCCUCUGCCAGCGCCGGACUCCUGUCCCCACCUCCUUCCCCUGAUGCCCAGGGGAGAGCCCAGCCUUCAGGGUGCUUGGACAAGAACGGGCACU